This 444-nucleotide ribosomal RNA is filed under the name Triticum aestivum (bread wheat). RNAcentral's name for it is "partial small subunit ribosomal RNA". The record is from RNAcentral. Lineage: Eukaryota; Viridiplantae; Streptophyta; Magnoliopsida; Poales; Poaceae.
AUGGAUAAGUUUAAACUACCAACCCAAACCCUUAGGACCCCUCUGUUAGUGAGUUCACUUGGAGCAGAGUAUAUGGCUAGUCGAUGGUGCGACCAGAUACCGUUAACCAUUGGUAGCCAUGUUUUUCCGUCCGACCUAAUAAUCUUGGAGUCACAGGGAUUGGAUAUGAUAUUAGGCAUGGACUGGGUGUCAAAGUAUGGAGGAAGCAUUGAUUGUGCUAGUAAGUCGAUUUAUCUCACCACCCCGGAGGGAAAAAGGAUUAAGAAUGUAUCUAGGCAUGCGCCUAGGAGGAGCCAAGUAAAUACCCUCACGGGAGUUGUUCAGGAGGAAGUGCCUGUAGUGAAUGAUUACCCGGAUGUUUUUCCAGAGGAGUUACCAGGCAUGCCACCGGAUCGAGACAUCGAGUUUUUGAUAGAGUUAUUGCCAGGUAUAGGGCCAAUAUAA